Dermacentor albipictus is the source of this 2494-nucleotide long non-coding RNA. RefSeq lists it as uncharacterized. The record is from RefSeq and is a predicted model, not a curated record. NCBI's taxonomy places the organism in Eukaryota, Metazoa, Arthropoda, Arachnida, Ixodida, Ixodidae.
AAAUGCUGUUCCCUAUGCAGCGGCCCGCACACCUAACGAUGUGAACCUCGUUCCGAAAAGCCGGCCGCCAUAUAUAGAUUGAGUCCGCGAAAGUGCCACGUUUCCACAAGUUCAGUGUGUGUACAACUAUCGUACCUCUGUGAGGAUGUUCGUGGCAAUAAAAGCAUUCCCUGCUCGUAUUCAUAAAACUAUCCAAAGCGAUGCGCAUCGCGUGCUUGCGAGGACCACGAGCGAGUAAAAGACGAAGCGCCCAUCUGCGUUCGAUGCUGCACGAGACGCUGCACGAGAGCAACCAGCCAACCGAGCGAGCAUCUAGGACACGGUGGCCCCUUCCUUCACGGGUUCCUGGAUGCGAAGGCACCCUCACGCAAGGCGUCAACGGCGCACUGAUGACGUCCGCCGUCCAGUCUCACUCUGCUACCGACGUGGUGACGGCGGGGCUACGCAGCGGGCAUCGACCAGCCAGUUUUCCCUCCCGCUGCGUUGGCACCGCAAGGACUGCAGCAGGCCUCCUGGCCACGUCUUCCAGCGCAAGUGCCACCAUGACGCCACGUCGCGCUGCACUCUGGGACCAGCAGUACUACCUGGCAUCUCCAGUGUACUGCCGUGCUUCUGGUUCCGGCACGAAAGGCUGCGCUCCUGCAGAGUCAUGUGGGCUUCGACCGACCAGUUUUCGCUCCGGCUGGCCGGGCGCCACAAGGACUGCAGCAGGUGUCCUGGCCACGUCUUCCAGUGCAAGUGCCACCAUGAAGCCAUGUCGGGCUGCACUCUGGGACCAGUAGCACUGCCUGGCAACUCCAGUGUGCUACCGGGCUUGUGGUUCCGGCACGAAAGGCUGCGCUCCUGCAGAGUCAUGGUGGUGGCUGCGAGUGCCAGACCCACAGGUUGCCAAUGGUGGCAUUGCGGGCCUAUAGUUCGCUGGCAGUGUCACUGGACCCAUGCCACAUCUCGCUGCCCUGUGACCCUGCGUAUCACGAGCCGCACCAAGAGGGUAUUGAGCGAGACCCGGUCCGGAUCCAGAUAGCCAAUCCGGUGAUGGAUCAGAUGCUGAAGGACAAGUUGGAUGCGGUACGACAGCUUCUUAUGCGCUGGACGGGUGUUCAGGACGUCCAAAUACAGCGACAGGAUGACUUCGACAACAAGUACAUUGUGGUGAUGGCGAUGGGCCGAGACUGGCAGAUUUGGUUCCUUGAAUAGCUGCUCCUACAACGCUGGCUGCCACAGGCUAUUGACUGUGGAGACCUUCACAGGUUUCUAGGGAAGAAUGGCCAGGCUGGCCCAGCAAAGUGGCGCUCUAGGAGCCUGGCAUCUGCACAGCGCUGAGUACUUUUUGCUCAAGUAGCCAACAUUGUGUGAUCAGACAAGGCACCGUUUGAUAAGCUGCGAUAAAGGAAUUAUUCAUUUUUUUUCGAUAGGACACACCCAUCAUCAGAGGGGACUUGCGAACUCAAGACUGCAUGCAAUUUUCAAUUUCGUGAGACGUUAAUAGUGUUUACAUUUCAUUUUCCUAAGUGUGCUCUAGCAUGUGCGUGAGCUAAGAGUUCUUCAACAAGGUUGCCUGUGUGUGGGAUUCCAUGAAAAAUGCACACAUUGUUGGGAAUUGUAUUCCUGUUUCCACACGUGCACUUGACGUGCACACUUGUUGCAUCUGUUUGUGUAGCAUUGUUGAAUGUACUCCAGAAUGAAAUACAGGAAAACAGUCAUUAGUGAAGCAUAUGUUGUAGAAUUACCUCAUUAUUUAUCAUACCCCUGCUUUUAAAAGGCCUUUUUUAUAACAAAGGCUCUCCAAGAGGUGGUAUAAUGUAUUGUCUUUAUGCUGUUUUGUAACUGGGUUUUUAUGUCCCACUGCCACUUUUUAACAUUGCCUUAGGAAUUGUUCUUGCCCUUUGGUAACAUACUAGUGUGCUUUCUCGUUGCAUUAAAACAAUUUUUUUUACUUGGCAGAGCAUUGCCAUGAUGUGACAUUUUUAAAUGGGGCACUAGAACUGCAAUUUUGUGCAACACUGCCUUUUCAGAUUCUAUUUACUUUUGUGCCUUGUCAGUGGUCAGAACUAUUCACUGCCCACAUCGCCAGUGGGAUCAGCCAGCCAUAGACUGUUGAUGUUAAGUGGCAAGAAUCGAGCGGAAGGCAUCGCUACAAAAUUGCCGUCCACCUGUGGAGCUAGGAUAUGACGACAAACAAUUGCGGUAAAAUCAAUCACGCGAUAUGCCUUCGUGCAAUCUCGUGCAAUAUGCCUUUUGCAGUCUUUCUUCCAUAAUGUUGUCACUUAGUCGCUUGAUAAUUAUGGGUGUGUACAGGUAUACUCACUCAAUAUGCAUUGCCUUUUCAAAAGUGUUGUCACUUAGUUGCUCAAUGUUUGUGUGCACUGCGUUUAUUUAGGAUACCGACUGCAUGAGGCCUUGUUCAAGGAUAUCUAUGCAAGCACUCUUUGCAUCCAUGAAAAAAAAAGCUUAACCUAAUACUAAAUACAUUUUGAUUACCUCAGGGUUAUCA